Molecule: unclassified non-coding RNA, 336 nt
Filed under: soil metagenome
Description: partial contains 5.8S ribosomal RNA, internal transcribed spacer 2, and large subunit ribosomal RNA
Rfam family: 5.8S ribosomal RNA (bases 1-120)
Source: RNAcentral
GAUGAAGAACGUAGCGAAAUGCGAUACGUAAUGUGAAUUGCAGAAUUCAGUGAAUCAUCGAAUCUUUGAACGCACAUUGCGCCCGCUAGUAUUCUGGCGGGCAUGCCUGUCCGAGCGUCAUUUCAACCCAUCAAGCUUAGCGCUUGUGUUGAAGCCCUGCGGCCGCCGCAGCCUCCUAAAAUCAGUGGCGGGCUCGCUAUCACGCUGAGUGCAGUAGUAUUCUUCUCACUCCUGUGGUGUAGCGGGUAACCAGCCGUAAACCCCCCCAUCUAUAAAGGUUGACCUCGGAUCAGGUAGGAAUACCCGCUGAACUUAAGCAUAUCAAUAAGCGGAGGA